Molecule: ribosomal RNA, 497 nt
Filed under: uncultured bacterium
Lineage: Bacteria
Description: partial 16S ribosomal RNA
Rfam family: Bacterial small subunit ribosomal RNA
Source: RNAcentral
GAUGAACGCUGGCGGCGUGCCUAAUACAUGCAAGUCGAGCGAACGGACGAGAAGCUUGCUUCUCUGAUGUUAGCGGCGGACGGGUGAGUAACACGUGGAUAACCUACCUAUAAGACUGGGAUAACUUCGGGAAACCGGAGCUAAUACCGGAUGAUAUUUUGAACCGCAUGGUUCAAAAGUGAAAGACGGUCUUGCUGUCACUAAUAGAUGGAUCCGCGCUGCAUUAGCUAGUUGGUAAGGUAACGGCUUACCAAGGCAACGAUGCAUAGCCGACCUGAGAGGGUGAUCGGCCACACUGGAACUGAGACACGGUCCAGACUCCUACGGGAGGCAGCAGUAGGGAAUCUUCCGCAAUGGGCGAAAGCCUGACGGAGCAACGCCGCGUGAGUGAUGAAGGUCUUCGGAUCGUAAAACUCUGUUAUUAGGGAAGAACAUAUGUGUAAGUAUCUGUGCACAUCUUGACGGUACCUAAUCAGAAAGCCACGGCUAACUACGUG